Molecule: ribosomal RNA, 441 nt
Filed under: uncultured bacterium
Lineage: Bacteria
Description: partial 16S ribosomal RNA
Rfam family: Bacterial small subunit ribosomal RNA
Source: RNAcentral
CCUACGGGGUGCAGCAGUGGGGAAUAUUGCACAAUGGGGGAAACCCUGAUGCAGCGACGCCGCGUGAGUGAAGAAGUAUUUCGGUAUGUUAAGCUCUAUCAGCAGGAACGAGACAAGACGGUACCUGACUAAGAAGCCCCGGCUAACUACGCUCCAGCAGCCGCGGUAAUACGUAGGGGGCAAGCGUUAUCCGGAAUCACUGGGUGUAAAGGGAGCGUAGACGGCUGAGCAAGCCUGAAGGGAAAGGCGGGGGCCCAACCCCUGGACGGCUUGGGAAACUGUACGGCUGGAGUGCAGGAGGGGUAAGUGGAAUUCCUGGUGUAGCGGUGAAAUGCGUAGAUAUUAGGAGGAACACCAGUGGCGAAGGCGGCUUACUGGACUGUAACUGACGUUGAGGCUCGAAAGCGUGGGGAGCAAACAGGAUUAGAUACCCGAGUAGUC